This 160-nucleotide non-coding RNA is filed under the name Drosophila virilis. RNAcentral's name for it is "Eukaryotic large subunit ribosomal RNA". It matches the Rfam family "Eukaryotic large subunit ribosomal RNA", at positions 1 to 156 of the family's 3401-position model. Lineage: Eukaryota; Metazoa; Arthropoda; Insecta; Diptera; Drosophilidae. The record is from Rfam by way of RNAcentral.
CAACCUCAACUCAUAUGGGACUACCCCCUGAAUUUAAGCAUAUUAAUUAGGGGAGGAAAAGAAACUAACAAGGAUUUUCUUAGUAGCGGCGAGCGAAAAGAAAUCAGUUCAGCACUAAGUCACUUUGUCUAUAUGGCAAAUGUGAGAUGCAGUGUACGGA